Molecule: non-coding RNA, 64 nt
Organism: Schistosoma curassoni
Lineage: Eukaryota; Metazoa; Platyhelminthes; Trematoda; Strigeidida; Schistosomatidae
Source: Rfam
ACCCAGCUGAAGAGUUGCAAAUAAGACGAAACAAGUAAUCUAAAUUCCAAUGCUAGUCUUGAAU